AUUGAUUGAAUUGUUCUUCAGUGGAUGGGAUGGUCAAGUGUGAGAAGUGGAUUCAAGAUGAAGAUCCGUCCAAGGAGUCGAAAACGUCAUGGUGGUUGAAUCACCUCAUCGGCCGCCCCCGCCCCCGCGUCGCUUGGUGCCGCCCCCUCCCCAGCGGGUUCGGGCGCAACCUGCGUCGGGAGAGCUCGGUGUGGUCGCGCGGCAGGGACGAUCUGUUCUCGCAGUCGCGAUCGUCGUGGGACGAGGAGGCGCUGCGUCGGCGACGACCACGAGUGCUUCCUCUCCAAGUUCAAGGACCUCCUGCAAUACUGUGUCUCAUUUCGCUGCUGGACUUCAUAUGAGUUGGUGGAUAUGAUUUUUGAGGUCAAGAUAGAUCAUUGCUUCGUAAUCAAGCAGUUUGGCAACAAUAAUUCCAAGGUUCAGUUCAUCAAGUACUCUGAUCAGUAUCAAUGGUUGGUGCCUCUCGUGCUACCUACAUAUUGGUUUGGUGCUGGUGUAAUUUUCAGGCUUG
Molecule: long non-coding RNA, 511 nt
Filed under: Hordeum vulgare
Lineage: Eukaryota; Viridiplantae; Streptophyta; Magnoliopsida; Poales; Poaceae
Description: long non-coding RNA (HVUL_LNC006314)
Source: RNAcentral